GAUGAAGAACGUAGUGAAAUGCGAUAAGUAAUGUGAAUUGCAGAAUUCAGUGAAUCAUCGAAUCUUUGAACGCACAUUGCGCUCCCUGGUAUUCCGGGGAGCAUGCCUGUCCGAGCGUCAUUGCUGCCCUCAAGCACGGCUUGUGUGUUGGGCCUCCGUCCUCCUCCCGGGGGACGGGCCCGAAAGGCAGCGGCGGCACCGCGUCCGGUCCUCGAGCGUAUGGGGCUUCGUCACCCGCUCUUGUAGGCCCGGCCGGCGCUUGCCGACACAUCAAUCUUUUUUCCAGGUUGACCUCGGAUCAGGUAGGGAUACCCGCUGAACUUAAGCAUAUCAAUAAGCGGAGGA
Molecule: unclassified non-coding RNA, 345 nt
Filed under: soil metagenome
Description: partial contains 5.8S ribosomal RNA, internal transcribed spacer 2, and large subunit ribosomal RNA
Rfam family: 5.8S ribosomal RNA (bases 1-120)
Source: RNAcentral